CCCCGACCGGAUCUGCCGUCUUGCCUCGCCCUCCUACCCCCUUCCUCCUGCAUUUGGCAACCUCCCUCCUCGAGUCCAUCACGCCGCAUCGUGCUGCUGGAUCAGGCCAGCCACCGAGCACGGCGUCAACCCUAACCUUCCUCCCUAUGCCGUCGCGACGGGCGCAGCCCCCAAGGCCAGAUUCACUGGCCCACCAUGGCGACGCACCCGUCCGGAUCCAGCUGGGCUGCUCCAGGACGAAUUCCCCACCUCGAACCUCUAUUCAACCUUUGAUCUCUCUGGCUCGGUUCCAUGAUCUCCUCUUUUGGACAGAUGCGUUUCAACAGGGCCGUUCUAUAGUCGAGAGACCAUCGCCGUGCAGCUCGGCGAAACGAGUGAUGUGGUACACUUGCAAAAUUUUGUAGGUUUUGCUUGUAGGUAGUGUGCACUGCGUCAGGUGACCUCGCCUCCGUGUAGUCGUAUCCGUGCAGUGCGGCCCGUGCGUGGGCAGCAGCUCGCAAAGGUCUCAUGGGGUAAAUUUGCCCCUGUGCAGCUCAGUUGCCGCCUCUAUGCGGUUCAGCUAACUCACUGCUGCAGUACGUCGCUGGUGGUGCUCAAGUUUUUAUUGUUUUUGUGCAGUGUAGUUUUAUUUUAUGUGUUUAGAUUUUAUUAGUUUUUUUGUUUCUGUGCAGUGCUAUUAGACAUCAGUGGUGCUCAAGUCAUAAUUGCGCUAUUCUACUGUUGGUGCAGCUCGCUGAUUCAUGGUACGUGGUUCUGGCGUUGCGGGCAAGCAGUACGGUUCCGGCCACCCGCCCCUCCCCAUGCCGAUGCGCUGGACGACAACAACACAACAACACCGGAGGUGGCGCCAUGGCCAUCUCAAUCUUGUCCCUGCGCCACACCAUGGAUCUCGUUCGAUAGCGACCUCAUCGACGACCAAGUGUUGCAGCCCACUUUUUUAGUUUUGCAAUUCGCAUGUUAAAGUUUAUUUUUGUAGUGCGUGUGUGCUUCUCGGUGUGAGCUCAAACGAUGACAUAGAUCAGUCCACUCUAUUCUCUAAUGCAGAAAAGAAGGAAAAACCAAUUAUAAAAAAUAUGCAAGACUC
Molecule: non-coding RNA, 1084 nt
Organism: Triticum urartu
Lineage: Eukaryota; Viridiplantae; Streptophyta; Magnoliopsida; Poales; Poaceae
Source: RefSeq, a predicted model, not a curated record